AUACUCCUACGGGAGGCAGCAGUGGGGAAUAUUGGACAAUGGGGGCAACCCUGAUCCAGCAAUAUCGCGUGAGUGAAGAAGGUCUUCGGAUUGUAAAGCACUUUCGACGGGGACGAUGAUGACGGUACCCGUAGAAGAAGCCCCGGCUAACUUCCUGCCAGCAGCCGCGGUAAUAC
RNAcentral lists this ribosomal RNA (176 nucleotides) under uncultured Lactobacillus sp. RNAcentral describes it as "partial 16S ribosomal RNA". It matches the Rfam family "Bacterial small subunit ribosomal RNA", at positions 333 to 526 of the family's 1533-position model. Lineage: Bacteria; Bacillati; Bacillota; Bacilli; Lactobacillales; Lactobacillaceae. The record is from RNAcentral.